GAUGAUUUCCUGUUGUGGCUUCAUUGGGCCCUGCAUGUGCCUGUCUCCUGCACCUAAACCUGAUUCCUGCUUGCCUCCUGCCUGACACCUGGCUUCAUCUGAAAUUCACCACUGCCGCACAUCAGCACAAGACCAGCAAACCACUUAAAUCCAGGGCUGCCAACACUUCAGUAGCUCUGACAAAGGCUGGGUGGCCAAACCAUUGGCAGAACCUGUGGAGAAUGAAAAAAGAAUAGAAUGAUCAAGAAUAGAAACAGAGAGUAAAAAGAGUCAUUUAACGGUCUGGUUUCGUUGGAAAGGUCUGCUUAGAUUCCAGACGUCCCCCACAUGUACUUCCCUACUUCUAUAC
Mauremys reevesii (Reeves's turtle) is the source of this 349-nucleotide long non-coding RNA. RefSeq lists it as uncharacterized. The record is from RefSeq and is a predicted model, not a curated record. The transcript is spliced from 3 exons. Lineage: Eukaryota; Metazoa; Chordata; Testudines; Geoemydidae.